This 435-nucleotide ribosomal RNA is filed under the name uncultured bacterium. RNAcentral describes it as "bacterial SSU rRNA". It matches the Rfam family "Bacterial small subunit ribosomal RNA", at positions 335 to 762 of the family's 1533-position model. The record is from RNAcentral.
ACUCCUACGGGAGGCAGCAGUGGGGAAUAUUGCACAAUGGGCGCAAGCCUGAUGCAGCCAUGCCGCGUGUGUGAAGAAGGCCUUCGGGUUGUAAAGCACUUUCAGUUGUGAGGAAGGUGGUGUCGUUAAUAGCGGCAUCAUUUGACGUUAGCAACAGAAGAAGCACCGGCUAACUCCGUGCCAGCAGCCGCGGUAAUACGGAGGGUGCGAGCGUUAAUCGGAAUUACUGGGCGUAAAGCGCAUGCAGGUGGUUUGUUAAGUCAGAUGUGAAAGCCCGGGGCUCAACCUCGGAACUGCAUUUGAAACUGGCAGACUAGAGUACUGUAGAGGGGGGUAGAAUUUCAGGUGUAGCGGUGAAAUGCGUAGAGAUCUGAAGGAAUACCAGUGGCGAAGGCGGCCCCCUGGACAAAGACUGACGCUCAGAUGCGAAAGCGU